GGCUCAGGAUGAACGCUAGCGGGAGGCUUAACACAUGCAAGUCGAGGGGCAGCACGAGGUAGCAAUACUUUGGUGGCGACCGGCGCACGGGUGAGUAACGCGUAUGUAACCUACCUUGUACAGGGAGAUAGCCCGGAGAAAUUCGGAUUAAUACCCCAUAAUGAUAUUCGGAGGCAUCUUUGGAUAUUUAAAGUUUCGACGGUACAGGAUGGGCAUGCGUGACAUUAGCUAGUUGGUAGGGUAACGGCCUACCAAGGCUGCGAUGUCUAGGGGUCCUGAGAGGGUGAUCCCCCACACUGGUACUGAGACACGGACCAGACUCCUACGGGAGGCAGCAGUGAGGAAUAUUGGUCAAUGGGCGUAAGCCUGAACCAGCCAUCCCGCGUGAAGGAAGAAGGCGCUAUGCGUUGUAAACUUCUUUUCCAUGGGAAGAAAACCCCCGACGUGUCGGGGCUUGCCGGUACCGUGGGAAUAAGCAUCGGCUAACUCCGUGCCAGCAGCCGCGGUAAUACGGAGGAUGCGAGCGUUAUCCGGAUUUAUUGGGUUUAAAGGGUGCGUAGGCGGAUUAAUAAGUCAGUGGUGAAAACCUUCAGCUUAACUGGAGACUUGCCAUUGACACUGUUAGUCUUGAGUACGGUCAAGGUAGGCGGAAUGUGUAAUGUAGCGGUGAAAUGCUUAGAUAUUACACAGAACACCGAUUGCGAAGGCAGCUUACUGGGCCAUUACUGACGCUGAUGCACGAAAGCGUGGGGAGCGAACAGGAUUAGAUACCCUGGUAGUCCACGCCGUAAACGAUGAUCACUCGCUGUUGGCGAUACACAGUCAGCGGCUAAGCAAAAGCAUUAAGUGAUCCACCUG
Molecule: ribosomal RNA, 858 nt
Filed under: uncultured bacterium
Lineage: Bacteria
Description: bacterial SSU rRNA
Rfam family: Bacterial small subunit ribosomal RNA
Source: RNAcentral